Molecule: ribosomal RNA, 699 nt
Filed under: uncultured bacterium
Lineage: Bacteria
Description: bacterial SSU rRNA
Rfam family: Bacterial small subunit ribosomal RNA
Source: RNAcentral
CAUGCAAGCCGAACGGCAAGUCUGGUAGCAAUACUAGACCUAGAGUGGCGUAAGGGUGCGUAACACGUAUGCAAUCUGCCCUGUACAGGAGGAUAGCUCGGGGAAACCCGAAUUAAUACUCCGUAAUAUAGUUGGGAGGCAUCUUCUGAUUAUUAAAACUGAGGUGGUACAGGAUGAGCAUGCGUCUGAUUAGCUAGUUGGUAGUGUAACGGACUACCAAGGCGAUGAUCAGUAGGGGAACUGAGAGGUUGAUCCCCCACACUGGCACUGAGAUACGGGCCAGACUCCUACGGGAGGCAGCAGUAGGGAAUAUUGGUCAAUGGGUGCGAGCCUGAACCAGCCAUGCCGCGUGCAGGAAGAAGGCCUUCUGGGUUGUAAACUGCUUUUGUCAGGGGAUAAAAAUUCCAUGCGUGGAAAAUUGAAGGUACCUGGCGAAUAAGCCACGGCUAACUACGUGCCAGCAGCCGCGGUAAUACGUAGGUGGCAAGCGUUGUCCGGAUUUAUUGGGUUUAAAGGGUGCGUAGGCGGUCCUGUAAGUCAGUGCUGAAAUAUCCCGGCUUAACCGGGAGGGUGGCAUUGAUACUGUAGGACUUGAGUGAAGUCGAGGUAGGCGGAAUUGACGGUGUAGCGGUGAAAUGCUUAGAUAUCGUCAAGAACACCGAUAGUGUAGACAGCUUACUAGGCUUUAACUGACGCUGA